Molecule: transfer RNA, 75 nt
Filed under: Clostridia bacterium
Lineage: Bacteria; Bacillati; Bacillota; Clostridia
Description: tRNA-Cys
Rfam family: tRNA
About the family: Transfer RNA (tRNA) molecules are approximately 80 nucleotides in length. Their secondary structure includes four short double-helical elements and three loops (D, anti-codon, and T loops). Further hydrogen bonds mediate the characteristic L-shaped molecular structure. tRNAs have two regions of fundamental functional importance: the anti-codon, which is responsible for specific mRNA codon recognition, and the 3' end, to which the tRNAs corresponding amino acid is attached (by aminoacyl-tRNA synthetases). tRNAs cope with the degeneracy of the genetic code in two manners: having more than one tRNA (with a specific anti-codon) for a particular amino acid; and 'wobble' base-pairing, i.e. permitting non-standard base-pairing at the 3rd anti-codon position.
Source: RNAcentral
GGCACCAUAGCCAAGCGGUAAGGCAGAAGUCUGCAAAACUUCCAUGCUCCGGUCCGAAUCCGGAUGGUGCCUCCA